This 480-nucleotide ribosomal RNA is filed under the name uncultured bacterium. Its description in RNAcentral is "bacterial SSU rRNA". It matches the Rfam family "Bacterial small subunit ribosomal RNA", at positions 37 to 507 of the family's 1533-position model. The record is from RNAcentral.
CGAGACGACGCGUGGCGGCCGUGCCUAACACAUGCAAGUCGAGCGGGGCGAGGGGCGGAUGGCAACUGAAGCCUCUACCUAGCGGCGGACGGGUGAGUAACGCGUGGGCAACCUGCCUCAAGGAUCGGGAUAACAGCUCGAAAGGGCUGCUAAUACCGGAUGCGCUCACGGCCUCGCAUGGGGCUGUGAGCAAAGGGGAAACCCGCCUUGAGAUGGGCCCGCGUCCCAUCAGCUAGUUGGUGAGGUGAAAGCUCACCAAGGCGACGACGGGUAGCCGGCCUGAGAGGGUGACCGGCCACACUGGGACUGAGACACGGCCCAGACUCCUACGGGGGGCAGCAGUGGGGGAUCUUGCACAAUGGGCGAAAGCCUGAUGCAGCGACGCCGCGUGAGCGAAGAAGGCCUUCGGGUUGUAAAGCUCUGUCUGGAGGGACGAAACAAAUGACGGUACCUCCGGAGGAAGCCACGGCUAACUACGUG